Cavia porcellus (domestic guinea pig) is the source of this 7490-nucleotide long non-coding RNA. RefSeq lists it as uncharacterized. The transcript is spliced from 2 exons. The record is from RefSeq and is a predicted model, not a curated record. NCBI's taxonomy places the organism in Eukaryota, Metazoa, Chordata, Mammalia, Rodentia, Caviidae.
GGGCCGCAGCGGGAUGGGCUGAAGCCGCCAGCCCGGGGAGACGCUGGAGGCCGCGGGCCGAAGAGAAGCUCUGCGGGGACAGCUCCGCAACUCUCAGCGGCGGGCCGCCGCAGCACGCCGGCGAGGCUGGGAAGAGCUCCCCGGCGGCCCGGGCCUCGUGGGGUCCUCCCAGAGGAGGAGGCAAUGGGCGCGCACCGGGAGAAUGCGCCGCUCCUCCAGCGGCGGCCGGGCCGAGCCACAGACUUCCUCAGAGGUCGCGGGACGCGAGCUUUCAUCCUCUCUAUGCGACCGCUGACCUCUCUGGUAACUUUUCCGUGGAAUGUGAAGUGGAAAAGGGGACCCAGGACUUCGUCCACUCUUGCAGUUCUUGCUGCUCCUACGAGAGGCUUGAGCCUUCUGCGGUGGAGCUGCACAGCCCUGCCCACCUUUCUCUCUGCAGAGAGCUGAGGUGGGCCAGGGACACAGUCAGCAGCGGCCUGGACUUGAGCUAGCCCUGAGUCACUGUACACUGUUUUCCUUAGCAGCACUUGUCUGGUAAGGGGGUUGUAAUAAUGAAGUGAUUUAGUGCACACAGAGCACUUCCAGCUGGAUGUGGCAUCUGCCACACACUGUGCCAUGGGGACUUAUGCAGAGAAGGUCCCAGCGCACCUGGGCACAUGGCCUGCCCUAAAGGAUCAGGUGGAAGUGCCAGGAAAGACCUCGGGGAGAGAAAGAUACUGAAAGAGGAGAAAGAGAUUUUAGGGGAGGAGGUAUUAACCACUAGAAAGGGAAGGAAAAGAAAAAUAGAGGUAUUCAGAGAAACCAUGAGAACAAAACAAAGCACAUGGAUAUACAAGUGUCCUCUCAGCCCCACUGGGCACUGGGCAGCAUAUUGCUUGCUGUCAGGUGUUUGAGAGACCUGUACUGAACUCACUUGUCCACCAAUAGGUUUUGGUUUUGAUGGAAGAUGGAACCUGGGAAGAAAGCUUUGCUCUUUCUGAAACUCUAGUGAGACUUUUCUGUGCCUGACACUCUCCAGAAUGCUUUGUCAGAGAGGAGGAGAGCAUAGUUCCAGGAGCCCCCACACUAGCCCUCUUCAGCGUGGUCCUGAAGUGUCUUCUGGCGCGGAUCAUUGGGAUUAUUAGCACCCAGAGGUGUGGCUCAUACUCAUCACCUUGGGUGGCCAUGCUCCUGAUUUCACAGGGACCUGGGGCCAUAGAUUUGCCCAUCUUCCCUGCUGUGCAGCCAGGUCUGCUGUAGAUGGGAGUGUGCUGUGUAUGGCUGAUCUCAGUUCUUGGCAGAUCCGUGCGGUAGAUCCUCAGAUACUGGAUGGAUUAACGAAAAAAUGUCACUGCUUGCAAGAAGAAUGGAAAAAUACUGUAUUGAUGUUAAGACUACUGUAUCCUAGUACAGUCUAUGGAGAGAAGUUCUCAUCAGGCCAAUAAGUAUCCCUAGCUUGCCCAGGUGUUCAGUUUACACCCAGCUCAGUUGCAUCCGUGGGUUCUUCGCAGGUCCCCUGGCUGACUCCACAGUGAGGUGGAAAGUCCCUGUUAAGUAAUGCUGUGAAAAACACUUGGUUAUUUAUAGCAGAGGGUGAACCUCAUAUGCAUCUAGUCCCAGUCUGGUGGGUUAACCCAGGCAAGGCUACUUCUCUCUGACUCCCUUAUCUUCUGUUAGAAUACAUUUCUUCCCAAGAAGCAGAAAGGGCCUCUCUCCCCUGUCCUGUCUUGCUUCUUUCUUCCUUCCUUUCUUUUCCCUUCCAUCCUUUCUGUUUUCUUCCCUUUUUUUAGCUGUGAUAUUUUCUGCAAGCAGUAUUUCUGACACUUGGAGCAUUUCCAGGAGAGAGCUGUGUGCCAGAGGUGUGUGCCUUCCUUUCGGUGCCUCUGAAUGUGCCUCCCAGAACACCCUGCUGGAAAACAGCUGGUCUUAGUCACGGUGGGGAGUGCCUGCCAGCAGGUCCCCUGGGAGCCCUGACAUUGAUUCAGUGCUCACUGUCAUCUCCCACGUGUUCAGAGCUCCAGCCUUGUUCUCAGUAAUGACUGUUAAGGAAAUUGAUUGCAUCCUACCCCUUUCCUUGGCAAGGUCCUAAUGGGUUCUGGUCCCAUUUGAGUGAUUGCUCAGGGAAGGGUGGGCCUGCCUGGUUGCUUGGGGAAGAGUGCAGAGGGGCCCGGCACAUAGUGGUCUGUGUUUUAGACAGUGCUGUCCUCAGGUUUAUUUUUUUUUUUCCUCAGUUCUUGAGGUUGUUUACAACUCAAGUUUCCUUUGGAAAAAAAAGAGUGAGCUUGGGGUGGGCAGAAUGAAGCUGUGACUGGAGAGUGAAGGAUAGACUGGUGUCUCCAUGUGUCUGUCUCUCCGUGCUUGUGUGAGUGUCCUGUGUGUCUCUGUUCCCUCCUUGUCCACAGGCUUUCUCUGCUAAGUCCUGGGCAGCCCUUAAAUUUUUCUGCAUAGUUUGUUGGUAUAGCCCCUCUGUACUUAGCUUCACUGCUGCCUGUUGAUCCACUCCAUAUUUUAGAUUUUCAAGGAGAGGAAUCAGAUUGACAUACCCCAUCCUCAGGGUCACAGGUCACCAGUUCAACCUGCAUAGGCUUCCCAAGUAGCAUAUGUCCACUCCCUAGGUGACCCUGCACAAGGAGAGCUAUCCUAGAGGUCUUGCACUGAAAGAUGCAGGGCACAUAACCUUAAGCACCUCCUCCUCGUGAUUCACCUGAGGAUCUUGACGGGCACUUCUGUUAGCAAAACUAGUUGGCAGAACUCAUGCAAUGUAGGUUACCCACAUAUAUUAGACUCAAGAUCUGAACUAAGCCAGCUCAUUAGGCUCAGUCACUCAUGAUCACCCUAAUCUCUUUGCCAGAAAUUGGCUCAGGAGUGAGAUUUAAUCCCUGUUUGGACCACCAAGACAGGGAGACAAAUAUGCUUGAGUUUCCUGGGGGAAAAAAUGUUCUUAAGAAUAAACCCUGAGCCAGGCUGUGAUCCCAACACUUUAGGAGGCUGAGGCAGAACGUUUACAAAUUUGAGGCCACUCUGUGCCAGGUAGCACUUAGCAAGACCCUUCCUCAGGUUUAUUCCUAUGAGCCACCUUCACUGGUAUCCUUGUGUGGCUCUAAUCUUCUCCAUGUUUAAAAUCCUACCUUCUCUUAGAUCCGGUGCUGCCUCAUCCCUUUGCAGUAGCUUGCUUAUUAAGUAAUAUUUCUCAUUAGUAUGCAGAGAUCCUGAAGAAGUACAAUUCCUCUUUCAUCCUUCUAAUAAAAAUUGGAUGCACCCACUAUUUGUCAGAUUCUAUACUAAGUGAUAGGGACGUGAAGGUGAGCACGACAUAGUUCCCAUUCUCAGAGAGUUCCCAGUUGGUCAGGGAAAUAGUCAUUUCCCCAUCUGGGGGUAGUGCUGUGAUAGGGCCCCUGACUGUCAUCUGAGGGUCCACUUCCAGGGUCAGGUCCCCCAAGCACUCACUGUGAAUUAAGCGUGUGUCUUGUAAUCCCGCAGAAGCCAUGCAAUCAGGUGGAAGAGUGUAGGCUUUGUUUGAGAGCAGGUGGAAGCUCUGGAAAGUUCUCCAUUAUUGGCACCGUCAGUGGAAACAUUUUCGAAUGCUUUCAGUCAUCUGGCUGAAGGAACUGGCCUGGGAGAAACCUAGGGGGUAGAUGUGCUUCUGAAGCGGUGAAGUAGACAGGUCAUAGGCCUGAAGAAGGGUUGGGGCUUAUACUUUUCCACCAGCAAAUAGAGGCAUUGCCAUUGACAUUGUCCCCAGGGGCCACCUCUUGCAUUUUCCUGCAGCAGAAUCCCCCCCCUCCUUUUUAAUGUGUUUCAUUUUGCUUUAAACACAGUUGAUAUCUAGAGAGGGAACGACAUCUUUGAUGGCAAAGUUAAAAACUUGAGAGAUCUUAAUCCCUGACCGCAUUUUUGAGCAGUGGGAAUCAAUGACAGCAGGAUCUUAUCUUGGGAUCCCUUGUGAGAAAAUUUGUGACAACAAUUACUCCUUUUCUUAUUGAGGUUCUCUGUUACUUAACCCACAUCAAAUCCUGACACUUGGGUAGGUAGUGACAGUCUGAAAAUAUGGCAGCUCCCAGGAAGAAGGAAAAGAGGUGAGCACUGUUUUGUGGAACAUUCAAUCACAGCUCAUUUCCAGUGACCAAUCUCAAAUGCCACCCAUGUCAAAAGUAGACACAUAAGACAGUCAUUGUAUUGUGAUAAUGGGUUCAGUGGGUCAGGGAUUCAGACAGAACUCAGCAGAGUGGUUUAUCUCAGCUCCACCAUUCAGAGAAGACUGGAAGCUGAAGAUUGUUGAGAUGUCUGUGGGUUCUUCACUCGUGACUGUAAGCUCAGGAGUGUGCUGACGUGAAGGUUGGGCUCAGAAAGUUCUGUCCAGGGGAGCACAUCUGUGUGAUCUGUAUUUGGGGCUGGAGCCUCAUACAGCUUGACAGCUAGGUUCUGAGACAGUGUUCCAACAGGAUCAGGUAGACGCCGCAGGCCUCUUUAAAGGUAGCUUCACAAGUAACAUAACAUCACUUCAUCCUAUAAUUAUUCGUUAUUAUCCACAGAAGCUGACUCCAGGAAACUUCCUCAGAUAUCAAAAUCUGCCAAAGCUCAAAUCCCUUGUAUGAAAUAGAAUAAUAUUUGCCUAAGACAUACACAUUUUCUCUCAUAUACUUUAGAUCAUCUCCAAAUUGCAGUGUAAAUGCGAUAUAAAUAGUUGUUUUGCUGCAUUGGUUAGGGAAUGAAGUACAAAAGAGUCUCUACUUCAGAACAGAUACAGUUUUUUCAGAUAUUUUUGAACUAAGGCUCAUGAAUAUGUGGAUACCCACAGGACAGGUGGCAAAGAGUUUGUGGCAGUGUUUAAAGAAGUUACAGGCUUUCAGGCAUUUUGAGGAUUGGGAUUAGACUAAAUUCACAGUCAAAAGGUGGGGUGGUGGAAGCCAGGUGUAAGUGAAAUGGUCUGGAGAUACUGUGGGAAAUACAAAGAGCCCAGGAGGGAUCCCAGAGAAAAGGCUAUUCUCUAAAGGCUAUGGAAUGAAGCUUUAACUUAAGCUCUAUAGAUACCGCCCCUGUAGGCAGUGGUUCUUUGAUCUGGCCAAGCAGAAGAAAGAUAACAGCUCUCUGAGCCUCUUAACUACCUCUUGGUAUCAGGCAAGAACCCUGAGUCCUGCUUCUCAAACUUUAAUGUGUACAAGAAUGAUUUCAGGAGAUUUAUUCUAACCCCCCAGCCCUCCCCUAGAGGGUCUUGAGUCAGUGGACCUACACUGGGCUCUGGAUUCUGUCUUUUUAAAACAGGUUGCCAUUGUUAUCUGGCUACAAGACUGGGCUGACCAUAUUUAGAGAUGUUAGUUUUCUUGUGUAUAUAUUUAGAAAGUUAAUUUCAAGCAGGAUUUGCAAGCUAUGUUCUAUGGGACGUGAGAGACUCCAUACAGGAUACCCAUAGGCACCAGCGGAUUUAGUAGAUACUCAUUGAAUGUCUGCUCUUUGCCUAGUGCAGGGCUGAAUAUUAGGGAUACACAGUAUUCAAGAUCAUCUCCUGGUCUGCUCCCUGGAGCAGCACUAAGGAAGAAUGGUCGUGGUGAAAGGUGUUUCAGAGGAGAAACACAGGCUUGUGCAGAGUCCAGGCAGGAAAACAGAGCUAGUUUAACUUCUGAGCUUCCUCUCACACUGCACUGAGGACAGACUCUUCCCAGACUGAAACUCCUGGCUUGGGGGAUCUGUAAGAGUCUUUGCAGAUGGAAACAUUUUGGUCUAUGAGUCAACUUGGGAAUUCUGCCUUAAAAAAGGCAGAAGGCAAUUACUGUGUUUAAAAUCUGCCUGAGAUCACAAGCUUACUACCUUCACUGUUGUAAAAGUAAUUAGGGGGCUCUUUAGCUAUAAAAAAAUGUUUUGGGUCGUGGUUUGAGGAUAUUUAAAAACAAACCUCUAAAAAAAAAAAAAAAAGCACUUGGAAACCCAGCAUUAUUUGCAUCUCAAAUGACCAGCAAUGAUGAACUUUUUUUUUUUUUUUUUUUUUUUUGUCUUAAAUAGACAAAUGCUGUUUCUGCCUUGUUCAUCUGAGAAGUGAGUAUUCAACUCAGAUGCCCAUCUUUGGAUUGAGUAUUUAAAUUUGGGAAACCUGACUUUUUUUUUUUAAGUUAUUUAUAAAUUCUAGGUAGUAGUCUUUUGUCUGAGGAACAGCUGAAAAACAUUUUUCCCACACUGUGGGUUGUCUCUUCACUCUGUUGGUGUGCAAAAGCUUUUUAGUAAGAUGAGCUCCCAGGUGUUGAUUCUUUGUAAUAGUUCUUAUGGGACUGGGGUUUCGUUCAUAAGGUCUUAGGUUACACCCAUGUCUUCAAGAGUUCCAUGUGUUCUUUCUUCUAGCAUAUUCAGUGUUUCUGGUUUAUUAUUUAGAUCUUUAAUCCAUUUUGAUUUUAGUUUAGUGCAUGGUAAGAGAUAUGUGUCUAGUUUUAUGUGAAAAGCCAGUUUUUCCAGCAUCAUUUAUUAAAGAGACUAUCUUCCAGUGAAGGUGUUUGGCUCUUUUGCCAAAGAUAAGGUGACUGAGUGUGUCUGGAGUUGUUUCCGCACCUUCUGAUCUGUUCCUUUGAUACUCAAGUCUGUUUUUGUUGUUGUUGUUUGUUUGUUUGUUUGUUUUGUCAGUACCAUGCUGUUUUUAAUCACACUACCUUGGUAGUGUAAUUUCAAGUCAAGGAUUGUGAUGCUUCCUGUCUUGUCCUUGUCUCACUCCAGAAAGAAAGUCUAUUACCAAGAAAUCAACCAAUAACAAAUGCCAGUCGGACUGUAGGGGAAAAGGAAUACUUUUCCACUGUUGCAGGGAAUGCAGGCUAGCACAACCACUGUGGAAAUCAGUGUGGAGAUUCCUCAAAAAAACUAAAACAAAGGUUCUAUUUGACCCAGCUAUUUCCCUUCUUAGUGUCUUCUCAGAAGAAUUGAAAGCAUCAUGCCAAAGCAAUAUAUGCACACCCAUAUUUAUAGUGGCACAGUUUGUAAUAGCUAAAUCUUGGAAACAGCACAAAUGCCCAUGAAUUGAUGAAUGAAUAAAUAAGAUGUGGAAUAUAUAUGUAUAUGUAUUAUAUAUAUGUGUGUGUAUUACUCUGCCAUAAAAAAGGAUAAACUUGAGACCUUUCUAGGUAAAUGGAUGCCUCUUGAGACUGUAUUCUUAAAUGAAAUAAACUUGACACAUGUAUGUAAAUACCACGUUGUUUUUCUGGUGUGAGAAACCAAAAGUGUCAGUAAGGACCAAAGUGUAUAGUAGAUACUGUGAAAGAGGAAGAAAAGUUCAAAUGAUAAGGGGAACUAGGAAUGGGGGGAGGGAAAGGAAGGAGGGGCAAAGAAGGAAGGGAAAUGGAAAAUGGGAAAAGGAGAAAUAAAGAAGGGAGAAACGAGAAAAAAACUCUUGUAAAUAAAGAGUAGAAGAGGGAUUGAGGGGAGGAGAAGAGAAUGGGGAAAAAGAAUAAAGAUAUGUGCAAGUGCAAAUUCCCUAUGAUGAAAGUGAUCAUUAUGUAUAGCUAAGAUGUACUAAUAAACUUAAUUAAAAACAAAAA